CAGCCGCCGCGGUAAUACGGAGGGGGCUAGCGUUGUUCGGAAUUACUGGGCGUAAAGCGCACGUAGGCGGCUUGGUAAGUUAGAGGUGAAAGCCCGGAGCUCAACUCCGGAAUUGCCUUUAAGACUGCCGAGCUAGCAGGUGAGAGAGGUAAGUGGAAUUCCGAGUGUAGAGGUGAAAUUCGUAGAUAUUCGGAAGAACACCAGUGGCGAAGGCGGCUUACUGGCUCAUACUGGACGCUGAGGUGCGAAAGCGUGGGGAGCAAACAGGAUUAGAUACCCGGGUAGUCCCUGUCUCUUAUAA
Molecule: ribosomal RNA, 301 nt
Filed under: uncultured bacterium
Lineage: Bacteria
Description: partial 16S ribosomal RNA
Rfam family: Bacterial small subunit ribosomal RNA
Source: RNAcentral